GGAGGUAGCAUAGCUCAGUGGUUAGAAAAUCUGCCUGGCAUGCAGAGGUCCCAGGUUCAAUCCCCAGCAUCUCCA
This 75-nucleotide transfer RNA is filed under the name Sphaerodactylus townsendi. RNAcentral describes it as "tRNA-Ala". The record is from RNAcentral. Lineage: Eukaryota; Metazoa; Chordata; Lepidosauria; Squamata; Sphaerodactylidae.